UUAUCCUGUGGUUCCACCAUACUCUUAGUUCAGUGGUUGGAAAAUGUUUUCUGUAAAAAGCCAUGUAGGGCUGGGCGGGGUGGCUCACAUCUGUAAUCCCAGCACUUUGGGAGGCUGGGUGGAUCACGAGAUCUGCCUGCCUUGGCCUCCCAAAGUGCUAGGAUUACAGGUGUGAACCACCGUGCCCAGCACUGUUCUCUCUUUCUUGAUAGUUUCCCUUCUGACAUUUCUUUACAUCCUCCUCAGACACCCAGUAACUUUAAUAUUCCUC
RNAcentral lists this long non-coding RNA (271 nucleotides) under Callithrix jacchus (white-tufted-ear marmoset). RNAcentral describes it as "lncRNA (ENSCJAG00000080385.1)". The record is from RNAcentral. Lineage: Eukaryota; Metazoa; Chordata; Mammalia; Primates; Cebidae.